Molecule: ribosomal RNA, 484 nt
Filed under: uncultured bacterium
Lineage: Bacteria
Description: partial 16S ribosomal RNA
Rfam family: Bacterial small subunit ribosomal RNA
Source: RNAcentral
GACGAACGCUGGCGGCGUGCUUAACACAUGCAAGUCGAACGAUGAACCCGGAGCUUGCUCCGGUGGAUUAGUGGCGAACGGGUGAGUAACACGUGAGUAACCUGCCCUUGACUCUGGGAUAACUGCGGGAAACUGUAGCUAAUACCGGAUACGACCCUCGGCGGCAUCGCCAGGGGGUGGAAAGAAUUUCGGUCAAGGAUGGACUCGCGGCCUAUCAGCGAGUUGGUGAGGUAACGGCUCACCAAGGUGACGACGGGUAGCCGGCCUGAGAGGGGGACCGGCCACACUGGGACUGAGACAGAGACCAGGAUACUGCGGGAGGCAGCAGUGGGGAAUAUUGCACAAUGGGCGCAAGCCUGAUGCAGCAACGCCGCGUGAGGGAUGAAGGCCUUCGGGUUGUAAACCUCUUUUAGCAGGGAAGAAGCGAAAGUGGCGGUACCUGCAGAAAAAGCACCGGCUAACUACGUGCCAGCCGCCGCGGUAA